UGGGAUUCGAUCCCGGGUCUCCAGGAUCGCGCCCUGGGCCAAUGGCAGGCGCUAACCCGCUGCGCCACCCAGGGAUCCCGGCCCUCAGGCUUUGAAAAUCUUCCUUAGGUACUUCGGUAUCGCGGUGUGGAAAGUGGAAGUAGCUGACACCAAUUAGCUUGAGAAGGCAGCUAAAACUGACACUGAAAUAAUUUGAUCAUGAAAUCCUGUCCCACAUUCUAGGGAUGUGAAUCUGUUACUUGUCUCCGUAGGUGACAUUUAAUUAUGGGCUAAGGUGACAUUUAAUUAUGGGCUACACUGGGAGCUCUGGAGGGCAAGGCGACACGCAUACAUCUGUUCCUUCUUUGAUGGCUCAAGUAGGUCCUCAGCAAAUAUUUGGUGACUAAAUAAACGGAUGCAGUCACCACAGCUUGGUUCCCUCUAAAGGUACAACUAGGACAAGGGCUUGAGUGCUCUGGUCUUAUUUGGGAGAUAAUCCCAGGGAGCAUGAAUGAAGGACCAGAGGAGCGAAAGGAGCAGGAGAGGAGGUAUAAGGAUGAGUUAUCAAGGUCAUGGCAGAGGACAGCUGGAGCGCUGCCAUGCCCAGAACUUUCUGGGCAGCAUGAAGUGGACUCUCAGAAUUGCCUGCCAGACAGACCUGGAGGUGCCUUUUUUAUCCCUGGUCUGCAGUCCUCCUGGGUUGACACCUGCUCUUGGAUCUUUUACUCCUGACCAUGUAUGACCCCUGCCCGGGGCUAUACGGGCUCCCCUGCAGACAUCUCAGGACCAGAGAAACUCUGGGUUUCACAGCAGAGGGCAUAGGGCAUCUACUGAGUGGUGCUGCUGUUUUAGGAGGUGAGUGGUAGCCUCGAGGAAGGCUGCCAUCCCCGAGGCUGCAAGGACAGGGACCUAAAGGAGGAGAAGAUAAUAGGUAAGACAUGCUUUGCCCGUUUCCGUUAUCUAGAGGACCAGAUUCCUUUAAAAACUUUUUUCCUCCUGUAUGAUCCUAUUAUGUAUUCCAGGUAUGAGUGAAACCCGAAGUCAGAGUCUAAUUUGUGUAGUCCUUCAUGUCUGUAACUUGUACUUAGAAAGUUCUAUGCAGGAAGGAAAGGGAAAAGAAUGAACAGUUAACUCUCAAAGGAAGUGAAUUGAUCGCGCAAGCACGCACACACCGCCUGUGAGUUAACCGUCCAGGGUGCAAGUGACAACCUCAGCCUCAGUCCGUCUCGCGGGGCCAGUGCAGCAGCAUGGGGUUGUUGCUGACUUUGGGGGGAUCAUGUUGCCCCACUCCGGCCCAGGCUGACUGCCACUGUCUCGUGACGGUCCACGCAGCCUGCGGUGCUCACCCGGCAGAACCUCUGCUACCUCUGCAGGAACGGGAGCCAAGUACUUGCGGGGCGGCCUCUACUGCAUAAACACGGCUGCUCUCGGGAGUGUGGGAGGUCCUGAGUUCACAUUGCAGCUGGAACCCUGUGCCAUUUCUCCUGACAUCUGGACAGACGUGAGCAUGGGGAGGCCCAGCAGGAAGUGCUCUUUAUUGACGUCAGGCAGGGAAGGAGAAAUCACAGAAGAAGCCGCCGUGUCCCAGUUAGCAUGUCACAUAAUAUGCAGCAGUGGCUUCAGUGGGCUUCGAGACCAUCCAGAGAUGCAGCCAGGGCCCUACUAAGCACAAAGCCUCAUACUGCAUGUGGAGGUUUCAAAACAAGGGCUUUAAAACAUCAGAAAACUGACUUGGAUUGAGUGCUCCUCCACAUUUGGCAGGCUGAGAGUACAAGGGACAUAAAAACACCACAUUCGACACCAGCUAGGAGGAGAGUGCAUCAGACUUCAGGGGGCAUUUUGACGUCCAGGGCUAUGAAAGGAUGCUCUCACAAGCCCAGAUAGCUGCCUGCACAGGUUUCCAAAACCCGUACCAGUGCUGUCUGAUGGUGACAGCAGCAGUGUGGCUCUGGGCGUGGAAUGGGGCACUGCUGUCUUCCAAACCAUCGUAACCAGAUCAUGAGCAUGCUGGUGGGCCAUGGUGGGACUGGACAAGCCUUUACCUUCCUGGACACCUCUUCCCUGGUAAAAUGACAUGAUCAAUGUCAGUGGAUUUAGAGAGCAUGUCUGUCAUAAAGAUUUUCCUGUAGGCUGGCUCAUUAAAUUGAAGGGGGUCCCUGUGGUCACUUUCAACAUCAAACUUAUGAAUCAACAUAUAAAUGUAAAUUUCAUUUUGGUUUGUUCACCUUGUUUUUCUUUAAAGUUUUUAUUUAAAUUCCAGUUAGUUAAUAUAUAGUGUGAUAUUGGCUUCAGGAGUAGAAUUUAGUGAUUCGUCACUUCCAUAUAACAGCCAAUGCUCAUCUCAAGUACCCUGCUUAAGGCCCAUCACCCAUCUAGCCCAUCCCCCGCACACCUACAUCCCUUAAUUCUCAGUUUGUCCUCUAUAGCUAAGAGUCUGAUUUAUGGUUUGCCUCUUUUCCCCCCCAGGUUCAUCUGUUUUGUUUCUGAAAUUCUAC
This is a long non-coding RNA of Canis lupus familiaris (dog), 2474 nucleotides long. RefSeq lists it as uncharacterized. The record is from RefSeq and is a predicted model, not a curated record. The transcript is spliced from 3 exons. NCBI's taxonomy places the organism in Eukaryota, Metazoa, Chordata, Mammalia, Carnivora, Canidae.